UCAGAAUUUCUGCGUGUUGUACAUAGUAGUUAAAUAAGUUAAAGAGAAAAAUGCGGCUCGUAAGCAUCAUAUUAUUAUAUUAUUUAGUCAGCGUUUAUCAAUGAUGUUGAUAUUUAAAAUGCGAUACUAGACAAACGAUAUCCCGUCGCGAUAUAUCGAACGUGACAAAUAACGAAGAAAUAAAAAGUUGUUCGUAUCAUUUAAAA
Molecule: non-coding RNA, 206 nt
Organism: Cinara cedri
Lineage: Eukaryota; Metazoa; Arthropoda; Insecta; Hemiptera; Aphididae
Source: the annotation of a GenBank genome assembly